RNAcentral lists this ribosomal RNA (488 nucleotides) under uncultured bacterium. RNAcentral's name for it is "SSU rRNA". It matches the Rfam family "Bacterial small subunit ribosomal RNA", at positions 26 to 523 of the family's 1533-position model. The record is from RNAcentral.
AGGACGAACGCUGGCGGCGUGCCUAACACAUGCAAGUCGAACGAGGUUAAUCCGGUAGCAAUACUGGUGACUGCCUAGUGGCGAACGGGUGAGUAGCACGUGAGCAACCUGCCCCGAAGACCGGGACAACACCGGGAAACCGGUGCUAAUACCGGAUACCCCCACCUAAUCGCAUGAUCUGGUGAGGAAAUGGAUUCCGCUUCGGGAGGGGCUCGCGGCCUAUCAGCUAGUUGGUGAGGUAACGGCUCACCAAGGCUUCGACGGGUAGCUGGUCUGAGAGGACGAUCAGCCACACUGGGACUGAGACACGGCCCAGACUCCUACGGGAGGCAGCAGUGGGGAAUCUUGCACAAUGGGCGAAAGCCUGAUGCAGCAACGCCGCGUGAGGGACGAAGGCUUUCUGAGUUGUAAACCUCUUUCAGCAGGGACGAGUUGUGACGGUACCUGCAGAAGAACGCCCGGCAACUACGCGCCAGCAGCCGCGGUAA